GGAAAAUAUAAUUAAAUUAUAAUAUUAAUUUGUGGAAUUAAUUUUAAUGGUUAAAGUCCAUUUUUUUUCC
Molecule: transfer RNA, 70 nt
Filed under: Florometra sp. BMK-2020
Lineage: Eukaryota; Metazoa; Echinodermata; Crinoidea; Comatulida; Antedonidae
Description: tRNA-His
Rfam family: tRNA
About the family: Transfer RNA (tRNA) molecules are approximately 80 nucleotides in length. Their secondary structure includes four short double-helical elements and three loops (D, anti-codon, and T loops).
Source: RNAcentral